Non-coding RNA from Pelobates cultripes (western spadefoot toad), 468 nucleotides. The record is from the annotation of a GenBank genome assembly. Lineage: Eukaryota; Metazoa; Chordata; Amphibia; Anura; Pelobatidae.
GGUCUUCCAUCAAUGGCCUCAACUGCAAUGGGUCUAUCUUUCUGCCUUAAUGGCAGGAGAUGUUUAGCAGAGAAUUCUCUAUCAAGGAAAUUCUCCGCUGCCCCAGAGUUGUUCAUGGCCUCACACUGAAUAGUAGUUUUCUUACAGUUCAGAGUAAUUUUCACAAGGCAACGGUUCUUAGUCAAUUUGGGGGACAUAUACAUCACACCUAAGGUCGGUCCCCGAACGUGACUUAUGUGCGCAUGUUUUCCGGCCGAGCCGGACACGAGGCCCUUAGAUUUCCCUUCCUCCCACAAUAAAGACACAACCCCUCGUUUCGUCUGUACUGUCUCUCUGCCUCAGUAAGCUUAGUUAUGCCCAACUGAAUGGACUGGGUUGGAAAAACGAGGGGCUAUAGAUAGGUUGGCACGUAUUGUGCGUUGUUUGUUCCUCUCUCUCUCCCUCAAUCUAUUAUCAAUGUCAAUCAUG